GGUCCCGUAGCUCAGCAGGAUAGAGCAUCAGAUUCCUAAUCUGGGGUCGCGCGUUCGAAUCGCGCCGGGAUCACCA
RNAcentral lists this transfer RNA (76 nucleotides) under Rhizobium yanglingense. Its description in RNAcentral is "tRNA-Arg". It matches the Rfam family "tRNA". From Rfam's summary of the family: Transfer RNA (tRNA) molecules are approximately 80 nucleotides in length. Their secondary structure includes four short double-helical elements and three loops (D, anti-codon, and T loops). Further hydrogen bonds mediate the characteristic L-shaped molecular structure. tRNAs have two regions of fundamental functional importance: the anti-codon, which is responsible for specific mRNA codon recognition, and the 3' end, to which the tRNAs corresponding amino acid is attached (by aminoacyl-tRNA synthetases). tRNAs cope with the degeneracy of the genetic code in two manners: having more than one tRNA (with a specific anti-codon) for a particular amino acid; and 'wobble' base-pairing, i.e. permitting non-standard base-pairing at the 3rd anti-codon position. Lineage: Bacteria; Pseudomonadati; Pseudomonadota; Alphaproteobacteria; Hyphomicrobiales; Rhizobiaceae. The record is from RNAcentral.